RNAcentral lists this transfer RNA (69 nucleotides) under Thysanoteuthis rhombus. RNAcentral describes it as "tRNA-Ser". The record is from RNAcentral. Lineage: Eukaryota; Metazoa; Mollusca; Cephalopoda; Oegopsida; Thysanoteuthidae.
AAAGGUAAUUAGGAUUUAGAAUAAGGCUGCUAACUUUAUUCUGAGCAACUCGAAAUUGUUCUACCUUUU